AAGUGCGAUCAUACCAGCACUAAUGCACCGGAUCCCAUCAGAACUCCGCAGCUAAGCGUGCUUGGGCGAGAGUAGUACUAGGAUGGGUGACCUCUUGGGAUGUCCUCGUGUUGCACCUC
Non-coding RNA from Vigna angularis (adzuki bean), 119 nucleotides. The record is from Rfam. NCBI's taxonomy places the organism in Eukaryota, Viridiplantae, Streptophyta, Magnoliopsida, Fabales, Fabaceae.